AUUGAACGCUGGCGGCAGGCCUAACACAUGCCAGUCGAGCGGAUGAAGGGAGCUUGCUCCUGGAUUCAGCGGCGGACGGGUGAGUAAUGCCUAGGAAUCUGCCUGGUAGUGGGGGAUAACGUCCGGAAACGGGCGCUAAUACCGCAUACGUCCUGAGGGAGAAAGUGGGGGAUCUUCGGACCUCACGCUAUCAGAUGAGCCUAGGUCGGAUUAGCUAGUUGGUGGGGUAAAGGCCUACCAAGGCGACGAUCCGUAACUGGUCUGAGAGGAUGAUCAGUCACACUGGAACUGAGACACGGUCCAGAUUCCUACGGGAGGCAGCAGUGGGGAAUAUUGGACAAUGGGCGAAAGCCUGAUCCAGCCAUGCCGCGUGUGUGAAGAAGGUCUUCGGAUUGUAAAGCACUUUAAGUUGGGAGGAAGGGCAGUAAGUUAAUACCUUGCUGUUUUGACGUUACCAACAGAAUAAGCACCGGCUAACUUCGUG
Molecule: ribosomal RNA, 484 nt
Filed under: uncultured bacterium
Lineage: Bacteria
Description: partial 16S ribosomal RNA
Rfam family: Bacterial small subunit ribosomal RNA
Source: RNAcentral